This 469-nucleotide ribosomal RNA is filed under the name uncultured bacterium. Its description in RNAcentral is "bacterial SSU rRNA". It matches the Rfam family "Bacterial small subunit ribosomal RNA", at positions 28 to 507 of the family's 1533-position model. The record is from RNAcentral.
GACGAACGCUGGCGGCGUGCUUAAUACAUGCAAGUCGAACGGAGCCUAGCCGGUAGUUUACUACAGGCGAAAGCUUAGUGGCGGACGGGUGAGUAACGCGUGGGCAAUCUGCCCCUAAGUCCGGGAUAACAGAGCGAAAGUUCUGCUAAGACCGGAUACUCUUCCUUGGUCGCAUGGCGGAGGAAGGAAAGGAUACGCUUAGGGAUGAGCCCGCGUCCCAUUAGCUAGUUGGUGAGGUAACGGCCCACCAAGGCGACGAUGGGUAGCCGGCCUGAGAGGGUGGACGGCCACACUGGGACUGAGACACGGCCCAGACUCCUACGGGAGGCAGCAGUAGGGAAUUUUCCGCAAUGGGGGAAACCCUGACGGAGCAACGCCGCGUGAGGGAAGAAGGUCUUCGGAUCGUAAACCUUUGUCAUCGAGGACGAAAACUGACGGUACUCGAGGAGGAAGCCCCGGUAACUACGUG